GUGGGAGAGGAGCAGAUCAGAUGGAGAAGGGGAGGACAGGGCAUCUUAUUGCAACACAGGGGUUUGGGGGAAAACAACCCUCAGCCGUCGAAUAUAUGUGCCCGGCCACCAAGCCUUCGACAAUCUCAACCGCCUGCCGGGAUCUGAUCACAGCUACACCCCUCCUUGGCUGGUGGCACUCAAGACAUCAUCCUGGUUCACCUGCACUAAAAACGGGCCCAUGCUUCAACACAGAAAGCAAGGGUGGUUGCCCCUUGUUGCUGAAAUAAAAAGUUUCAGAGUAACAUCACCCCAGAGACGCUACGUACACAAGCUCAGCUGA
Molecule: long non-coding RNA, 322 nt
Organism: Xiphias gladius (swordfish)
Lineage: Eukaryota; Metazoa; Chordata; Actinopteri; Istiophoriformes; Xiphiidae
Exons: 3
Source: RefSeq, a predicted model, not a curated record